AUACGGAGGGUGCAAGCGUUACUCGGAAUCACUGGGCGUAAAGCGCGCGCAGGCGGCUUGAUAAGUUGGAUGUGAAAGCCUACGGCUCAACCGUAGAACUGCAUCCAAAACUGUCAAGCUAGAGUCUGGGAGGGGAAGAUGGAAUUAGUUGUGUAGGGGUAAAAUCCGUAGAGAUAACUAGGAAUACCAAAAGCGAAGGCGAUCUUCUGGAACAGUACUGACGCUGAGGCGCGAAAGCGUGGGGAGCAAACAGGAUUAGAAACCCCAGAAGUCC
RNAcentral lists this ribosomal RNA (274 nucleotides) under uncultured bacterium. RNAcentral describes it as "partial 16S ribosomal RNA". It matches the Rfam family "Bacterial small subunit ribosomal RNA", at positions 523 to 796 of the family's 1533-position model. The record is from RNAcentral.